GGUGUUUCACCAUGUUAGCCAGGAUGGUCUUGAUCUCCUGACCUCGUGAUCCACCCGCCUUGGCCUCCCAAAGUGCUGGGAUUACAGGCAUGAGCCACCACGCCCGGCCAAGUGGAAUGAAUUUUCAAGAGCAUUGAAGUUACCAUAAGGGGCCUAGAAAUACUCUGUAUACCUAAAUAGUGCUCUAGGAGCCCUCUGGCACAAAUGGAAGAAGAAAGAAGGGAGCAAGUAGCUAAAAUUAAGAAGAUGGAGAUGGAGCAGGUGUUUGAGAUGAAGGUCAAAGAAAAAGUUCAAAAACUGAAGGACUCUGAAGCUGAGGCCUUCGGGAAGUGUCGAGUCCGGGACGCCCAGCGCCGGCCGGAGCAGGUGGAAGGGAAG
Molecule: long non-coding RNA, 378 nt
Filed under: Gorilla gorilla gorilla (western lowland gorilla)
Lineage: Eukaryota; Metazoa; Chordata; Mammalia; Primates; Hominidae
Description: lncRNA (ENSGGOG00000044487.1)
Source: RNAcentral